Molecule: long non-coding RNA, 353 nt
Organism: Rhododendron vialii
Lineage: Eukaryota; Viridiplantae; Streptophyta; Magnoliopsida; Ericales; Ericaceae
Exons: 2
Source: RefSeq, a predicted model, not a curated record
CAUGUCCACUUCAUCCAGCUGUUUCACAGAGUAUAUACAUAAAUAAGUGUAGCAUCAGAUCUUAACCAGUAGCAUAACUCUUGAGCUUCUUUGGAUUUGAGAAGAUGACAAAAAUGGGACAGUUGAAAGAAAUUUGGCAUGUUAAAUACAUAUUUACCAAGGAGAACAUAUAAAGAAUAUCAUCAUACAAAUCCCGAUAAUAAGUACCUGGCUGUAGUUGGACCGUAUAGGCUCUAGUUCAGCAGUGGGUGGAGCGGCCUCGAUUUCUGCUAAAGAUGUGUAGCCAAGAUGUGUCGCAGCCCAUCGUAGAAAUCUCCGAAGAUCCUGCUUACUAAUACUUCCAAUUGGAUUUA